This 1335-nucleotide ribosomal RNA is filed under the name Chryseobacterium sp. Its description in RNAcentral is "bacterial SSU rRNA". It matches the Rfam family "Bacterial small subunit ribosomal RNA", at positions 80 to 1422 of the family's 1533-position model. Lineage: Bacteria; Pseudomonadati; Bacteroidota; Flavobacteriia; Flavobacteriales; Weeksellaceae. The record is from RNAcentral.
UUCGGAAACUUGAGAGCGGCGCACGGGUGCGGAACACGUGUGCAACCUGCCUUUAUCUGGGGGAUAGCCUUUCGAAAGGAAGAUUAAUACCCCAUAAUAUACUGAAUGGCAUCAUUUGGUAUUGAAAACUCCGGUGGAUAGAGAUGGGCACGCGCAAGAUUAGAUAGUUGGUGAGGUAACGGCUCACCAAGUCUGCGAUCUUUAGGGGGCCUGAGAGGGUGAUCCCCCACACUGGUACUGAGACACGGACCAGACUCCUACGGGAGGCAGCAGUGAGGAAUAUUGGACAAUGGGUGAGAGCCUGAUCCAGCCAUCCCGCGUGAAGGACGACGGCCCUAUGGGUUGUAAACUUCUUUUGUAUAGGGAUAAACCUACUCUCGUGAGAGUAGCUGAAGGUACUAUACGAAUAAGCACCGGCUAACUCCGUGCCAGCAGCCGCGGUAAUACGGAGGGUGCAAGCGUUAUCCGGAUUUAUUGGGUUUAAAGGGUCCGUAGGCGGAUCUGUAAGUCAGUGGUGAAAUCUCACAGCUUAACUGUGAAACUGCCAUUGAUACUGCAGGUCUUGAGUGUUGUUGAAGUAGCUGGAAUAAGUAGUGUAGCGGUGAAAUGCAUAGAUAUUACUUAGAACACCAAUUGCGAAGGCAGGUUACUAAGCAACAACUGACGCUGAUGGACGAAAGCGUGGGGAGCGAACAGGAUUAGAUACCCUGGUAGUCCACGCCGUAAACGAUGCUAACUCGUUUUUGGGGCGCAAGUUUCAGAGACUAAGCGAAAGUGAUAAGUUAGCCACCUGGGGAGUACGUUCGCAAGAAUGAAACUCAAAGGAAUUGACGGGGGCCCGCACAAGCGGUGGAUUAUGUGGUUUAAUUCGAUGAUACGCGAGGAACCUUACCAAGGCUUAAAUGGGAAAUGACAGGUUUAGAAAUAGACUUUUCUUCGGACAUUUUUCAAGGUGCUGCAUGGUUGUCGUCAGCUCGUGCCGUGAGGUGUUAGGUUAAGUCCUGCAACGAGCGCAACCCCUGUCACUAGUUGCCAUCAUUAAGUUGGGGACUCUAGUGAGACUGCCUACGCAAGUAGAGAGGAAGGUGGGGAUGACGUCAAAUCAUCACGGCCCUUACGCCUUGGGCCACACACGUAAUACAAUGGCCGGUACAGAGGGCAGCUACACAGCGAUGUGAUGCAAAUCUCGAAAGCCGGUCUCAGUUCGGAUUGGAGUCUGCAACUCGACUCUAUGAAGCUGGAAUCGCUAGUAAUCGCGCAUCAGCCAUGGCGCGGUGAAUACGUUCCCGGGCCUUGUACACACCGCCCGUCAAGCCAUGGAAGUCUGGGGUACCU